This is a long non-coding RNA of Cornus florida, 2306 nucleotides long. RefSeq lists it as uncharacterized. The transcript has 9 exons. Lineage: Eukaryota; Viridiplantae; Streptophyta; Magnoliopsida; Cornales; Cornaceae. The record is from RefSeq and is a predicted model, not a curated record.
CAUCAUUUUUUUGGGGCCAUUAACACCGUAUUUGCUUUCCCAUUUCAUUUUACAAGCCCUAACGCCCUCUCUCCUUCCAUCACAGCUCUCUCUCCUUCUAUUACCGGUCAUCACAGCUCUCUUCCCUUCCAUCAGUCAGCGUUCCAAAACCCGAAUUUUAAUCAGAAACCAACACUCUAAAACUAGUGGCUUGGUUUAGAGAGACAAAGUCAUUACUACUGCACACACAGAGAGAGAAAGAGUCAUCGUUGGGGGUUUCCAAAACCUCGUCUACACUAACAGAUCGGAGCAGAAUUUUUUUAGGAGUGGUUCAGUUUUUUGAAUAUCUUGCAACUGAGCGUCUUCCUUGCUUUGCCUGUUCUCUGUCUUUAAUCUCUCGGCUUUCUUCAAGUAGACUCUUCCUUCGCAUCAUCAAGAGCACAAGUCAGGUAUGAUCGAGCGAGGGGAGUUGAAAUAGGAAAUAAGGACGUAAAUGUUGUUAGAAGGUCAAGUCUCAAGGUGGAGGAUCCGCAACUGGAGGACUUAUCCAUUCUUUCUGUUUAUUUAAAAGUCUUUUGAUCAAGUAAAUGCCCAGAUCCUUGACUGCUUGGGACAAUGUAAGUGACUGACUUAGUAGAUCAUAAAAUCAAGAUUGGGCACUGGACCAUUUCUUCUAUGAAGGAGAGCUUCUUAAGAUGAAACUAGAUAACUAUUCUGGGGCUGGAUUUCAAUCCAAAAGCAAGUAUUUGUUUGGGAAAGUAAAUAUUCAGACCAAGCUUGUAAAGGGUGACUUUGCAGGGACUGUCACUGCUUUCUAUUUUUCAAUGUGUUCGAUUAAAUGCUGAAGGGUAGCUUGGAGCGGUUGAAAACAAUGAGACAAAGAGAGAACUGAAAUCAAGGAGCAACUUGAUCCGAGGGCCAGGUUUGUGUUGUGCUGCUUAAGUUUGAUUAUUUCAUAAAAUAAUGCGAGUUUUCAAGAUGAGGUUGCUUUUGCCAUUUGGGUGUGUCAAUCAAUUGUUUAAUAUCCUGAAGAUUUUUCUUGCUUAGUAUCCUUGAGGUAUGAUUAUUAGUUUUUUCUAUUUUUAUUUUUAUGAUUAUCAAGAUGGAUUUACUUUUCCCAUGGAUAACAAAAUCCUUAAAUUGUUUUUGGAUUUCUUUACCAUUCUCGUCUAAAAAUUAAAGCUGUUGUACUCCAAUAUUCCAAUAGUUCAUACAUCAAAAGAAAUAUCCCGAAUUUCCUGGGAAAAGUUCAUAUAUUUAAUUUCUUAAAGUUCUCAUUUUCUCAACAAAAUUCAAAAGGAUCAUGAUUUUCCUUAUACAAGUAUUUUUAUUUGCAAGAUGAUUUUACUUCAAAAUUAAUUUUCACAACAUUUUUUCUACCUUUAAAAUGUUUUUUAAUGCCAAAAUCUGUCUGGUGGAUAUUUUUACUUCAUAUUCUUCUCACUACAUUCCUGAAUCGUGCCCAAGUUCAGUGUUGUUUGAUGGCAAAUUGUUUUUUGAACCCCAGAUUUGUUCCUAUGUUGGCAAGUUGGUAUCUUCACUACGAUUGUCUCUGUAAAUCCAAGUAUCUUGUAUUUUUUAAUUUGCGGUUGUAGGGAAGAGACUCAUCUUUUGAUUUGCUUGAUGAUAAAUAUUUGUAUACUUGGCCCCUAUCUUUCCUCCCCCUUUUUUGUUGUUUAAAUACCUCUAAAACUAGCUCAUAGUUAGGGUCCGAGGUUGUUUUUCAGCAAUAGCGGGACUUUAUCCCUUCUCCUACAUCAUCGUUCCUAAAUCAUGCCAUUUAUAUAAAUAACUGCAGUUUGCUGGCCUCUUGAAUCCUAUUCAUUUUUUUUUCUUCGUAUUGUUUGAACUAUUUCCUUAUAUUGUUUUGGUUUUAUGCAGUGAUGGGAUGAAUGGUUAUACAUCACUUUGUGCUGGAGACCCUUGCUCGCCUGUUGCAGGACUGGAAGAUAUUAUGGAUAAUUAAGUCAUUUGUGCUAUAUAUAGACUUCCAGAUGCUCAUAAACAUAUAGCUCGACAACCAGCCAGAGUUAUAUUCUCAUAAACAUGUUCUCUUUAUAUGGAGGUGUUGGGGACCUACUUCUUGAUAUUUAUUGGUUGUGCUGCGGUGGUGGUGAAUUGGAGAAGGACAAGGUGGUGACACUUCCGGGAAUAACAAUUGUUUGGGGACUGGCUGUGAUGGUCUUGUUUUGAGAAUGUUAUUACAUAAGUCUCCUUUGACGCAAAUUCUCAGGAUUUGAGACAUUAUAAAUUUUUUUUUUUCUUUUCAUGGGCCUGUUUUUGAGACAUAGCUCCACUCUAUAUCAAAUUUCAUUAUUGCACCGUAA